GCAGACACAUUCCAGCCAAUCAGCAGCAGACCCUCCCUCCCAGACCCUCCCACUUCCUGGACAGCAUCCAUUUUACAUUCAUUGUGAAGCUGCAUUCUUAGUGAGCUGUCCAGGAGGUGGGAGGGUCUGGGAGGGAGGGUCUGCUGCUGAUUGGCUGGAAUGCGUGUG
This 168-nucleotide microRNA precursor is filed under the name Pelobates cultripes (western spadefoot toad). The record is from RNAcentral. Lineage: Eukaryota; Metazoa; Chordata; Amphibia; Anura; Pelobatidae.